Molecule: long non-coding RNA, 435 nt
Filed under: Helianthus annuus (common sunflower)
Lineage: Eukaryota; Viridiplantae; Streptophyta; Magnoliopsida; Asterales; Asteraceae
Source: RNAcentral
GGUUGCGAUCAUACCAGCACUAAUGCACCGGAUCCCAUCAGAACUCCGCAGUUAAGCGUGCUUGGGCGAGAGUAGUACUAGGAUGGGUGACCCCCUGGGAAGUUCUCGUGUUGCAACCCCCUUUUUUUUAUUUACUAGUCGCUGUAUCUUUGGCGUAGCAUGCGAGCGGCCGAUUUUGUGAAAGGAAGGCUUUGACGAAUGCGCGCGCGCGCACGGCGGGCCCGGGGCGCGUGACGUAGGCCACACAUGAGGGCAUAGGUGCGAAUGGGAUCAAGGCGUGGAAAGGUAUAAAGGAAUAAGGAGAAGGUAUUCUUUCGGUUGCGAUCAUACCAGCACUAAUGCACCGGAUCCCAUCAGAACUCCGCAGUUAAGCGUGCUUGGGUGAGAGUAGUACUAGGAUGGGUGACCCCCUGGGAAGUCCUCGUGUUGCAACCC